This 253-nucleotide ribosomal RNA is filed under the name uncultured bacterium. RNAcentral describes it as "partial 16S ribosomal RNA". It matches the Rfam family "Bacterial small subunit ribosomal RNA", at positions 524 to 776 of the family's 1533-position model. The record is from RNAcentral.
UACGAGAGGCCCAAACGUUAUUCGGAUUUACUGGGCUUAAAGAGUUCGUAGGCGGUUCGGUAAGUGAGGUGUGAAAUCCCUUGGCUCAACCAAGGAAUUGCGCUUCAAACUGCCGGGCUCGAGGGAGAUAGAGGUGAGCGGAACUGAUGGUGGAGCGGUGAAAUGCGUUGAUAUCAGGAGGAACACCGGUGGCGAAGGCGGAUCUCUGGGCCUUACCUGACGCUGAGGCGCGAAAGCUAGGGGAGCAAACAGG